CUUGAUCGUAAGGUAAAUGAUGUCGAAAAAUUAUAAAAUUUGAUUUCUAGAAGUUUUAAAUGCUGUAAAUAACGUUUAACGGUGUGGAUCGUCGAUUUGGAAACUCUAUCAUCGAAAACAACUUAUGAGUACGAGGGCGAUCGUACUCAUAAUAGUAUAGUAGCCGAACCCUAUAUAUAUAUAUAUAUAUAUAUAUGUAUGUAUGUAUGUUUUUUUGAGAGUCACGCUACCCGCUUCGUUUAUUUCAUUUAAAAAUAAACUUAGCUAGAAAUGUGAAUCAACUAUAAUUCAAACUUGAGUCUCGGAUACCAACCACCAAAUUUUUUGUCACUUGCUUUAGGGACGGUCGGUUGUAUGUAUGUAUGUUGUAUUUAGAUCUAUAACAUGUAAG
Molecule: long non-coding RNA, 391 nt
Filed under: Ananas comosus (pineapple)
Lineage: Eukaryota; Viridiplantae; Streptophyta; Magnoliopsida; Poales; Bromeliaceae
Description: long non-coding RNA (ACOM_LNC000040)
Source: RNAcentral